Non-coding RNA from Clathrospora elynae, 88 nucleotides. The record is from the annotation of a GenBank genome assembly. Lineage: Eukaryota; Fungi; Ascomycota; Dothideomycetes; Pleosporales; Diademaceae.
GCAUCAGUGGUUUAGUGGUAAAAUUAGCCGUUGCCAUCUUGUUAAAGAUUAAUUCGGCUAGCCCCGUGUUCGAUUCACGGCUGAUGCA